Molecule: non-coding RNA, 29 nt
Filed under: Rattus norvegicus (Norway rat)
Lineage: Eukaryota; Metazoa; Chordata; Mammalia; Rodentia; Muridae
Source: RNAcentral
UAGGCACAUUGGAUCUACUGAAAUUGAAC